RNAcentral lists this ribosomal RNA (253 nucleotides) under uncultured bacterium. Its description in RNAcentral is "partial 16S ribosomal RNA". It matches the Rfam family "Bacterial small subunit ribosomal RNA", at positions 524 to 776 of the family's 1533-position model. The record is from RNAcentral.
UACGUAGGGUGCGAGCGUUGUCCGGAAUUACUGGGCGUAAAGAGCUCGUAGGCGGUUUGUCGCGUCUGCUGUGAAAACCCGAGGCUCAACCUCGGGCCUGCAGUGGAUACGGGCAGACUAGAGGUAGGUAGGGGAGAAUGGAAUUCCUGGUGUAGCGGUGAAAUGCGCAGAUAUCAGGAGGAACACCGGUGGCGAAGGCGGUUCUCUGGGCCUUACCUGACACUGAGGAGCGAAAGCGUGGGGAGCGAACAGG